Molecule: non-coding RNA, 1255 nt
Organism: Vicugna pacos (alpaca)
Lineage: Eukaryota; Metazoa; Chordata; Mammalia; Artiodactyla; Camelidae
Source: RefSeq, a predicted model, not a curated record
GUCAAAAAGGGAAAGGGGGACAUGCCAGCAGCCUGAACAGGGUGGGCAAGGCCACAGGGCCAUGAGUCACCGAGAAGUGUUAGUACCACUGCAAACAGCGCGCGUGCCUGGAGCCAGGACGGCAGGGAGUCAGGCAGGAGGAGGGAGGAGCAGGCUGGAGCCCGAUCCUAAAGAGCCUUGCUGCCCGGUCGUACUCCCACCUCCCCGCGGCCAAAGACAGGCGGCCCGCCCCGGGCUGCGAGCAGCCUGCGGCGCGAGAUAAGGAGCGCGGUCGCGACAGACCCGCGCGGUACCCGCCGCCAGCCCGCCCGGCGGGCGCACCAUCCAGCUCCGAAACGCAGGAACCGGGACUUUUGUUUUUGCCGCAGGACGGGACUCAGAGAGCACACAAUGCCCAGUGUUGAAACUCCCUGUUUGGAAGGAAGAACAGUUGCACAUCUGGGAGAGACUUCAGGGAGCAAGCUGCACUCUGCACAGGAACCAUCACGCCUGUCCCCAGAAUCAGAAGGAGAUGGGAAUGGAACCCCUAUUCCCUCGGGCAUCAGUCAAAUCUAGAGAAAGCUGGCAGAGGCUAAAAUGUCAAAACACAGAUAUGAUGAUGAUGAUGAUGUUAUAUAUUGAAGCUUCCUGGAUACCAGACACUGUGCUAAGCACCACACAGACAUGCUAUCUGUCUGGCUCACUGUUGGAUCCCACUACCUAACACAAUGGCUGGCAUAUAGCAGAUGCUCAAAAUAUACUGACCUCUGAAGAGGAGCUAUUUUUAUUUGCACAUUAUGGAUGCGUCACUGAGACUUAGAAAGGUCAAGUAGCUUACACAAGAUCUCACAGUCAUUAACUGGCCAAGCCAAGAUUAGAAGUCAACCAUUUGGCUCCCAACUACAUGCUCAUAGCUGCCAUGCUGCACUGACUCUUGAGGAAUAGGCAGGAAGAAAGAAAUCACCUGGGCAGAAGCAAAGCCAAGGAAAAGCCCUGGGAUGCUGUGUGAGGCACCAGAACUAAGCACGGUUCAAGUCUAACCUGCUACAUGGAUGUUACAUUUGUGUCCCCGUGGUCAUGACCUAAAGCUGGGAUAGGGGCUAGGGACCAAAGAGAAAAAGCCCAUUUUCUCAGAGAUCAGAGUUGUUGAAAAUAGAACUGAAAUAAUAUGAAUAUAUUUUCAAGAAAGAGUAACAACCUUAAAAGUUAGAGUUAGAUGAAGAAGCAGCUACUUGUUUCUCCCAAACAAGAGAAGACCAGUAAUAAACUAAAGAAU